AAUGCAUGCUAGUGGUUUCUGCAAAGAGUGCGUUUUUACCCACGGACGUGCGUGGUCCAUACCGUCUGUGGAGUGGGUGCGUUGGUGUGUCUGCAGGGGCCACUGUGUCGAAGGCAGGGAGUGUGUACUGUGGAGAGGAAUCAUCCUUUGAAAGAAUUGAAAAAGACACAAAAACCGCUGCUUCAGGCUCCAGGUCUACAAUCUGUCCACCUGCUCCACCCCAAAGAACUGGCAGAAGCUCCUGCUAACCUGAGUCUGCUGCCGAGAGAUCAGUAGAAGAACAUCCCAUUGUCCUGGAAGGCAGGGGCCAGAACUUGAACAUGGUCUCUCAAGAAACAAGUCACCAAAUUCAAUUCUCACUGGGGGAGAAGAAGAUGACACAAGAAUACCAUGGGAGGGGAAUCACCUGGGAGAACAGAGGUGCGGUCGCUUACCACCAGCAAGCUGUGAUUUGCAGGUCACCCAACUAGGGAGUUUCCAGAAGUGUGGAGCUGGCAAGGCAUGACCCGAUCAAGGUGCAUCACUUGGGUGGCAGAACCUGACUAUAGAUGUUCCUUGAUUUCUCUACGACUUGAGUGGAGAAUAA
Long non-coding RNA from Myotis myotis, 586 nucleotides. RefSeq lists it as uncharacterized. The transcript has 5 exons. NCBI's taxonomy places the organism in Eukaryota, Metazoa, Chordata, Mammalia, Chiroptera, Vespertilionidae. The record is from RefSeq and is a predicted model, not a curated record.